GCAACUCGCCUAUAUGAAGUUGGAAUUGCUAGUAAUCGCGGAUCAGCAUGCCGCGGUGAAUACGUUCCCGGGCCUUGUACACACCGCCCGUCACACCAUGAGAGCCGGUAAUACCCGAAGUCAGUAUCCUAACCGCAAGGGGGGAGCUGCCGAAGGUAGGAUUGGCGAUUGGGGUGAAGUCGUAACAAGGUACC
RNAcentral lists this ribosomal RNA (194 nucleotides) under uncultured bacterium. Its description in RNAcentral is "partial 16S ribosomal RNA". It matches the Rfam family "Bacterial small subunit ribosomal RNA", at positions 1307 to 1500 of the family's 1533-position model. The record is from RNAcentral.